Molecule: ribosomal RNA, 402 nt
Filed under: uncultured bacterium
Lineage: Bacteria
Description: bacterial SSU rRNA
Rfam family: Bacterial small subunit ribosomal RNA
Source: RNAcentral
GACGAACGCUGGCGGCGUGCUUAACACAUGCAAGUCGAGCGGUAAGGCCCUUUCGGGGGUACGACGAGCGGCGAACGGGUGAGUAACACGUGGGUGACCUGCCCUCCAGCUCUGGGAGUAAGCCUGGGAAACCGGGUCUAAUACUGGAUAUGACUCCAUGACGCAUGUUGUGGGGUGGAAAGCCUUGUGCGGCUGAGGAUGGGCCCGCGGCCUAUCAGCUUGUUGGUGGGGUGANGGCCUACCAAGGCGACGACGGGUAGCCGGCCUGAGAGGGCGACCGGCCACACUGGGACUGAGACACGGCCCAGACUCCUACGGGAGGCAGCAGUGGGGAAUCUUGCGCAAUGGGCGAAAGCCUGACGCAGCGACGCCGCGUGAGGGAUGACGGCCUCGGUUGUAACC